This 243-nucleotide ribosomal RNA is filed under the name uncultured bacterium. RNAcentral describes it as "partial 16S ribosomal RNA". It matches the Rfam family "Bacterial small subunit ribosomal RNA", at positions 524 to 766 of the family's 1533-position model. The record is from RNAcentral.
UACGUAGGGUGCGAGCGUUAAUCGGAAUUACUGGGCGUAAAGCGUGCGCAGGCGGUUUUGUAAGCCAGAUGUGAAAUCCCCGGGCUUAACCUGGGAAUGGCAUUUGGGACUGCAAGGCUCGAGUGCGGCAGAGGAGACUGGAAUUCCUGGUGUAGCAGUGAAAUGCGUAGAUAUCAGGAGGAACACCGAUGGCGAAGGCAAUCCCCUGGACCUGUACUGACGCUCAUGCACGAAAGCGUGGGG